Molecule: long non-coding RNA, 5785 nt
Filed under: Brassica napus (rape)
Lineage: Eukaryota; Viridiplantae; Streptophyta; Magnoliopsida; Brassicales; Brassicaceae
Description: long non-coding RNA (BNAP_LNC008457)
Source: RNAcentral
CUAAUAGACUUGUUAGUAAUGAUUGCUUUCAUAUUAUUCAACCAAAGACAUUUGAUGUUUGAGAUAUGUUAGCAAAUGAGCAUUCAUCUAGACAUAGAGCUUGCUUAGAAUUGUGUCUAGGCUUAAGGUUGAUAGUUUGAUUGAUCAUUUGCCAUCCUUAGUUCGAUACUUGAUCACCCAAGGUCUAAUCCCUAUGCCCAUGAGUUCUCUUUUCCCUUAGUCAAGAAAGUUUCAUUCUGUUAUUGCUUUCUAGUUUAGUAGUAGUUUAAAACCCAUCUAAAUCAUUGGUUGCACUUAGAUUAAGUGAGUACUUGUAUUCUCAGUGCUUUGAUAUCCCUCAGAACUGGUUCGACAAUCUUUUAUACUACAACAUUUGUCUUAGGAGCCUUGAAAACUCCUAACAUCAAAUUGGCGCCGUUGCCAAAUUCUGAGUAGAUUUGAACAUUGAGAUUUAGUCACUUGCUUGAGACUAAGUCAUUUUUAUUUUCUUUUGUUACUGAUUCUAUUUCUUCACCUCCCUUUAAUCUACAGGUGUAUGAACUUGAGGAGCAGGGGUCCAUCAAACCUAGUUCCAAUAGCUGCAGACAUCAGAGCUUUAGAGAGAGAGUGUGCUAGAAAUAGAAGAGAAGAAGAGCAACAGGCUCACUUGCAGAGAUUGAGUACUGAUAUGGGAGACAUACCUCAAAACCAACAGCGAGCAGCUCGACCCAUUGGCACUUACGACCGCCCCAACAUUCAUGGUCAUAGAUUGGGAAUCCGAGCACCCGCUGUGGCAGCCAACAACUUUGAGAUCAAAUCAGGACUCCUCAACGUGAUCGAGAACAACAAGUAUCAUGGCUUGGCUCUAGAGGAUCCAUUUGAUCACUUGGACAGGUUCGACAGCUACUGUGGGUUGUCAAAAACCAAUGGUGUGUCCGAAGAUGCCUUAAAGCUCAAGCUAUUCCCUUUCUCUUUGGGGGAUAAGGCACGUCAGUGGGAGAAGUCUCUACCCAGUGACUCCAUCACUACUUGGGAUGACUGCAAGAAAGCAUUCUUGGAGAAGUUCUUCUCUACUUCAAGAACUGCUAAGCUGAGAAACGAGAUUUCCAGCUUUCAACAGAAGAACUUGGAAGGCUUCAGUGAAGCCUGGGAGAGAUUCAAGGGCUACCAAGCUCAAUGCCCACACCAUGGCUUUUCUAAGGAGAGCUUGCUAAGCACAUUCUACCGUGGUGCUCUUCCUAAGUACAGAGCCAGACUGGAUACAGCUAGCAAUGGGUUCUUCUUGGGGAGAACUGAGGAGGAUGCAGAAGAACUGGUUGACAACAUGGUAAAGAGUGAUGCAGUCUACAGUGGAGACCACGACAGAAGCAGUAGAACUGAGGAUAGGCAAACGAGGAAGGAGUUGAAAGCUCUACAGGAUAAGAUAGACAUCCUCCUUGCUGAUAAAGCUACCCAAGAGCAGCUGCACUUUGUCGGCAACCCAAGCCAAGAGACACCAGCUAUUGUCCAUGAAGUUGAGGGUUUGGAAGGUCAGGAAGAGCUGUGUUUCAUCAACAACAAUGGUAGCUGGUACAAGAAAGAACCCAACUUUCAGUACAAUAACUACCAACAGAAGUCCUAUUCCAACAACCAGCAGAGUGGCUAUCCGCCAAGAAACAACCAGCAGGGCAGCUAUCAGCCUCAGCAAAACCCCUCGUCUGGUUCCUCUGCUCCUCAAGAGAGCAGCACUGAUACCUUACUGAAGCAAAUCUUGGAGUCUCAGACUAGAAGUGAGAAGCAAGUUGGUUAUGAGUUGAAGAACCUUCAUUCCAAGAUUGAUGGGAGCUACAAUGAGCUCAACAACAAAUUCUCACACCUUGCUUCUACAGUCAGGAAUUUAGAGAAUCAAUUUGCUUCCAUGAACACUCACCAGAAUCGCCAGCAAGGAUCUCUACCUGGAAAGUCUGACCAAAAUCCCAAGGAGGCCAAAGCUAUCACCCUUAGGAGCGGUAAGCAGUUACCUCCUAGAACCCUCACCAAGGAUGCUGAGAAAUUAGGUGAGGGGGUUGCCAUCAACAUAGAUGAUGAAGUGGUGAUUGUUGAUGAGAAGAUCAAUGACGAGAUCUUGGAGAAGAUAGUGGAAGCCAAAGGUAAAGGAAAGGUUGGAGAGGAGAAGAAGACAGUAAAGGAUGGUGAAGUUGUUACUCCAGCAAGUGAAAGUUCUUUUGUUCCUCCUCCCUAUGAACCCAAACUUCCAUUCCCUGGUAGAUUCAAGAAGCAGCUGCUAGAGAAAUACAAAGCUCUGUUUGAGAAGCAAAUGAGUGAAGCUCAGGUUGCAAUGCCCAUCAUCGAUGCUUUCAUGUUGAUUCCUCAAUACAACAAUUUCCUGAAAGAUGUUGUAGCUGCAAAGAAGAAGGAGAUGGAAAGCAUGAUGAAUCUUACCCAUGAGUGCAAUGCCAUCAUCCAGAGGCUUGAUGUUCCAGAGAAAUUAGAGGAUCCAGGAAGCUUCACACUACCUUGUGCUCUUGGACCUAUGGUAUUUGAGAAAAGUCUCUGCGAUUUGGGAGCUAGUGUCAGCUUGAUGCCUUUGUCUGUUGCAAAGAAGCUUGGAUUCACUCAGUACAAGAAGUGUAGACUCUCUCUGGUGUUAGCUGAUCGUUCAGUGAAGUACCCUGUGGGCAUCUUAGAGGACCUUCCUGUGAAGAUUGGAAGGUAUGAGAUACCUACAGAUUUUGUGGUGCUUGAGAUGGGUGAGGAGGCUCAAGAUCCAUUGAUUCUAGGAAGGCCAUUCUUAGCUACAGCAGGAGCUAUUGUUAAUGUGAAGGAAGGCACGAUUGAUCUCCGUUUGGGUAAAGAGAACAUCCUCCACUUUGACAUCAAGAGGAAAAUGAGGAAACCAACUGUGUUCGGGCAAGCCUUCUACAUUGAAGAGAUUGACACCCCUGCUGAUGAGCACCUUGAAGAGUUACCACCUGAGGACGACGAGGAGGGAGCAUCUCCCUCUACUCAUUCCCUAUAGAAGGUAACCCACCACACUCCCUUGUAUAUACCAUUUCAUUUUUGCAUAUUAGUCUUCUUUUCGGUAUCUCUCUCUACUUGACGACACAGAGACUGUGUAACUCAAGUUUGGGGGGAGGUACCAAGUAUUUGAUCAUGUUUGCUUUGAUGUUGUUUCAUUGAGUCAUGCAUGGCAUACCUAUUUGCAUAGAUAAAAAAAAAAUCAAUCAUUUAGUUUGCAUCAUUUGCAUUUUUAGGAGAGUCUAGAGCAUAUAGGUUGCAUUCACUUGCAUUGGGAGCAAUGAUUUGAAUGCCUUGUAAAGAACACUACGUUGCACUUGACUAGCUUUUGCACCUCUCAAAAAGACUUGUAUGUUUCGAGCCUUGAAAACUCUUCCUGAAACUUGUUGAUUGCUGAAACUCAGCCUUUGAAGCCAACUACAACCUUAUUAGAAAUGAAUGAACUUAAUGCUUCUUGCUUAGGGUCCCUUGUGUACUGAGUCAUGGCUAUACACACUGGAGUUGUCACAUCUUUUAUGCCAAUCUUUUUGACAAACUCUAGUGGUAGACCACUCCCAAAACCUUUCCUUCCUUUUAAGCUUUCAUUGUUUGAUGAGUGAGGCCUUCUUCGGAAAGUCUUACAUGCGCAUAAUGUUGAGAGUAUCGGGAACGACAAUGCUUGAUCUUCAUUUUUGCUAGAUUGGACACUCUUUUGUCUAGCUAUAGGUGGGAGGGUGAGUGUUGUGAUCAUGAUUUGGGAGAAAUGAAAAAUAAAAAGGAUAGACUCUUUGUGCUUAAGUGAAUUGAUUUUCUGGGAUAAGUAGAGAACCUCUAGCUCUAGUUUUGAAAAGUCUUGGCCCCCAACCUAAAAAAAAAAAUAUAAAAAAAAAAAGAAAAGAAAUCGAAAAAAAAAAAAAGAAAAGAAAGAAAAGGGGGCUAGCAAAGUUGUUAGGAGCUAAGAAAUGUUUUGAGGUUGUAGAAAAAUCCCUUGUAGAUUUCAAAAAGAAAGAGUUAAAGUUCUUAAGAUCUUUUGGUGAGAGAUGUGAGUUGGGGUUGACAUUUGGGAAUGAUUGUGUAAUUGUAUGUUUGGGAAAAGGGUAGAACAAUGGAGAUUGAGCAUUGUAUGCAUGAGUUGGUCCCUUUCUUAGAUAUAUUAUGUGCAAUGUCAAGGCUACUUGUUUUGAGAGUAAACCACCUUAAAGAUCAUAUGUUUUGAACCUCUUGAAUCACUUGAAUAAAAGCCUUCCCUUACCCAACCAAAUGACUUGGACCAAAGGACCAUUUGCAAGAAUUCACCUGAUGUUUUGUGCUUAAUGAAUGUGAGAGUUGGUUGAUUUGAAUGUGUGGAUGCUUGAUGAUGAGUGUAAGAACAAAAAGAGUUAAGAUAGGCCUAGAGAAGCUAGAGUGUAAUAAGAGAGUGUGCUAGUUGUGUUUCUUUUGGCUAUGUGCUCCCUCCUUCAACCUCUCUCCCUAUGAGUUCUAGAAAGUUCACUUGUGGACAAGUAAAAGAACAAGUUUGGGGGAGUUGAUAUCUUGCAUAUUUGCAUUGUUUUAUCCAUUCAUCCAUUAGCAUUUUCAUCAUAUAGAUUAGGAUUUAGCCAUGUCUAGGUUGCAUUUUGCAUUCAUUGUCCUCAUUAGGUGUUGGAGUGCCACAUGGAGUUCUUGGGGACAUUUGGAUGCAUUUGGAGCUUAAAGGACGUGAAACAGGUGAUCAUUGGACGAGCAGAGCAUGGGAGCGAGGUUCCGUAGCGACGUCAUGAGGUCGCUCCAAAGCACCUCUCAGAGCGACCUAGCUAGAGCGACCCCGUGCAGUCGCUCGCAUCUCACACCCCUCUCGGAGCGACCUCCCAAAGCGACACCCCGAGGUCGCUCGCGUCUUUAUGGAGAGACGACACGAAGCGAAGCCUGGAGCGACUUCUCAGAGCGACCUACCAAGGUCGCUCCCGAUCCAGAGCGACCCGUUGGAGCGACACACCAAAGUCGCUCGCGACCUCUCGCCCGGACACACCAAAAAUCGGCCCUGGAGCGACUUCCCGGAGCGACACCUGCAAGUCGCUCCGCGUUAUUUUGCUGCCGAAAAUCAUGAUUUCUUAAGGACCUUUUUGCAAUUUAUUUUGGACGUUUUGCACUUGGAAAAACCUAUGUUUUAAACAUCUUUUGUAGCCACCAGUGGCAGAUUAUCUUUUAUCUUUUGAUCUAUUGAGAAAGACACAAGAACUCUCUUGAGAAGUUCAUCUCUUGGAUUUUGAUUGUUAUGUUCUUGUGUUCUUGUUGAUUUCUUAUCUAUUUCUUUACAUGAUUAAUCUGAAAUCCAAUAUGGGUUUAAGAGGAAUCAUGGAGAUUAGUGAGUAAUCACCUUUUGAAUUCAUGGGUUAGGGAGAUUAAGGGUGAUUAGGUUAGAGCUAGGAUGUUUUAGUGUAGAUCAUUCAUAUUUCCUUGCUAGUAGAGUAAUCAUAAUGCAUCUUCUGAGUUGGCCACUCAGUUGUUGAUCCUUAGGCAUUUCUCACCCGAAAGGUGUUCGAUGAAAUGCCCGAGACAACUCUCCUAGGCUUUUAGUAUACUUUGCCAAAGACAUUUGUUGUUAAAGGUACUAAGAUAGCUAAUAGACUUGUUAGUAAUGAUUGCUUUCAUAUUAUUCAACCAAAGACAUUUGAUGUUUGAGAUAUGUUAGCAAAUGAGCAUUCAUCUAGACAUAGAGCUUGCUUAGAAUUGUGUCUAGGCUUAAGGUUGAUAGUUUGAUUGAUCAUCUGCCAUCCUUAGUUCGAUACUUGAUCACCCAAGGUCUAAUCCCUAUACCCAUGAGUUCUCUUUUCCUUUAGUCAAGAAAGUA